AGCAUGUUAGCUCAGGGGAAGAGCGGUAUUUCUCACGUGACCUUCACAUUAUUCGAGUUAUAAACUAACAUAAUCACAGCCGGGCUCAUAACCCGGAGGUCCCUGGAUCGAAACCAGGACAUGCUA
RNAcentral lists this transfer RNA (126 nucleotides) under Aspergillus sergii. Its description in RNAcentral is "tRNA-Glu". Lineage: Eukaryota; Fungi; Ascomycota; Eurotiomycetes; Eurotiales; Aspergillaceae. The record is from RNAcentral.